This 603-nucleotide long non-coding RNA is filed under the name Vombatus ursinus (common wombat). RNAcentral's name for it is "lncRNA (ENSVURG00010019591.1)". The record is from RNAcentral. Lineage: Eukaryota; Metazoa; Chordata; Mammalia; Diprotodontia; Vombatidae.
GCUCAAAUAUUUGGAUGUGAAUUUCUUUAGAAUUACAUUUUAUAUCUCUCUAAAAAUGUUUCUUUUUGAAAGGAAAACAUUAAUGAGGAGGAAAAUAUCGCCAUAAAGGAAAACAUGACUAAAAAGGAAAAUAUUUAUGAUGCUUCAACUCUGCUAUCUUCCUGGACAAACAGAGAAACUGAAUUCAGAAAACAAGAACUGACAAGAAAAAUAAUUUUGAAAGAGCAAACGCAAGCAUUCCUCACAGACAUCAAAGAGAUGUGUGCCAUGGAAAGUGAUGAACAUUCGGAAGAGGAAAACAGCCUUGAAAUGGAAAGAAUGAUUGAAAAUGAAACCACUCUUAAUGAGGAAAACAUCAUAGAAACAAAAAAUACCACUGGGAAGAAAUCCAUUCGUUAUACUGGUUGGACUCUGGCACGUCUCUGGACAAUCAGACAAAAUGAAGUAAAAAAACAAGAAAUGGCAAGAAAAGCAGUUCUGGAAGAGAAAGUUGAGAAUUACAUCAAAGUAAUCAAAGAGAUAUAUGCAAUGGAAAUCAAUGAUGACAAGGAGAAGAACGAAUUGAGUGCAAGGGAAUACACAAACACUUCUGAAAAGAACUGA